Molecule: long non-coding RNA, 981 nt
Organism: Panicum virgatum (switchgrass)
Lineage: Eukaryota; Viridiplantae; Streptophyta; Magnoliopsida; Poales; Poaceae
Exons: 2
Source: RefSeq, a predicted model, not a curated record
GGUGAUCCCCAACAUCGGCAGAGCCGCAGCCCCACACCAACUCGCCCAGGCCCAGCUAAAGAAACAACGAAGGGAAGGCUCAGACAUUAUCCUCUCCGCUUGACCCUGCAUCUGAGAAACCUAGACCGCCGCCGCUCCCAUUUCCGCUCACGCUCCUCCACCUCCGCCUACCUGCUUCUGCCUCCCCACGCCCAGGAGAUCCCCUCCACGUGGCGCCGCUGCCUGCGUCCAAGCCCACGCAGCCUCCCUCGAGCUCCUCUGCCUCCGCCUCCCUCAAGCUCCUCCGGACCCUAACCCUAGGCGCUGCCUCAGCACCGGCUCCGUGCUUGCCGACCGGAUCCACGUCGGAACCGCCUUCUCCGACCUCGGUAUUGGGUGGAUCUGCCCCGACGCCGCUGCAUCCUCCUUCUUGACCUCGGGCUGGUGCUGCUCAUCCCAGACCUCGGGCCGGUGCACUCCUCCCCGAGCUCAUGCCAGCGCUACAGCUCUCUGACCCCAAGCCUUCCCCGCAUCGGCACAACUACACCAAGCCCCCCGCUUCCACGCUGAGGGCUGCAAGGUACAAAGAUACAACAGAAUGGUGAAUGGAGAGCUGGUGAUCUUCAUGUUGCUAAAGCUCAACAUCAAGGUGAUAAUGUCAUGCAUAGAGUUAGAAUUUAAAGCAACAUGGCAUAUUAAGUUGCCGAGUUAACUUUAGUUUUAUUAAUUGAGUUAUGUAUACAUAGAGUUAGAAAUUAAAGCAACAUGUCAUAUUAAGUUCGCUUCAAUAAUGUAUAUUUAGUACAGUUAUCAUUUGCUCGGUUUAUGCCAUAUCUUGAUGGAUGGCUUGUAAUCUUUAUGUAUAAGUAAUUUUAGUGGACAUGUAUAUGGAACAACAAUUGGUUGAUGGCUUGUAAUCUUUAUGUAUAAGUGAUUUUAAUGGACAUGUAUAUGGAACUACAAUUGGAUCUGAUGGAGCUAAGAAAUUGUGAUUACAGAUGA